Molecule: ribosomal RNA, 446 nt
Filed under: Bacillus subtilis
Lineage: Bacteria; Bacillati; Bacillota; Bacilli; Caryophanales; Bacillaceae
Description: bacterial SSU rRNA
Rfam family: Bacterial small subunit ribosomal RNA
Source: RNAcentral
GGGCGUAAGGGCUCGCAGGCGGUUUCUUAAGUCUGAUGUGAAAGCCCCCGGCUCAACCGGGGAGGGUCAUUGGAAACUGGGAAACUUGAGUGCAGAAGAGGAGAGUGGAAUUCCACGUGUAGCGGUGAAAUGCGUAGAGAUGUGGAGGAACACCAGUGGCGAAGGCGACUCUCUGGUCUGUAACUGACGCUGAGGAGCGAAAGCGUGGGGAGCGAACAGGAUUAGAUACCCUGGUAGUCCACGCCGUAAACGAUGAGUGCUAAGUGUUAGGGGGUUUCCGCCCCUUAGUGCUGCAGCUAACGCAUUAAGCACUCCGCCUGGGGAGUACGGUCGCAAGACUGAAACUCAAAGGAAUUGACGGGGGCCCGCACAAGCGGUGGAGCAUGUGGUUUAAUUCUAAGCAACGCGAAGAACCUUACCAGGUCUUGACAUCCUCUGACAACCCU